CAGGUAGCUGUUGGGAGGGUGUCUAGCAGCACCCCUACACUCCACCACUGGAUUCCAGUGGCAGCCCCGCACCCCAGUGUGACAGCCAAAGAUGCCUCAUUCAUUGCAGCAUCCACGGGGUUGGGGAGCAAGGCAACAUUGCCCGCAGUUGGGAACCACGGGUGAGAGAACAAGGAAGCUCCAUUAGCUUAGCAGUGAGUGAGAGUAAGAACGCCAACAAAAUAGGAAGAAAUGGCCCCACAGCAACUGCUCUGCAUGAAACCCUCCAGGUAAACUGUACCCAUGAACAGAAGGUGUGCCUUGACCUUAACAGGCGCCUGGGUCUGCCCUGGUUCCAGUCGAUAGGGGUGCACCGGGGUGUUGCUCUGCUGACCCCAGAUGCUGGGAAGAUGCUAAGCGUCAAGAUGCUGAAGGAUCAUGAAGCAGGAAGGCUCGUCGUCUGCAGCAGACAGAGCCAGGACACACACCAGUAACAGGGCAGCAGCUGGAAAAGCCAGACUGACUAAUGGGAUCGUGAC
This is a long non-coding RNA of Myotis myotis, 518 nucleotides long. RefSeq lists it as uncharacterized. The record is from RefSeq and is a predicted model, not a curated record. The transcript has 3 exons. Lineage: Eukaryota; Metazoa; Chordata; Mammalia; Chiroptera; Vespertilionidae.